Long non-coding RNA from Mesocricetus auratus (golden hamster), 356 nucleotides. RefSeq lists it as uncharacterized. The record is from RefSeq and is a predicted model, not a curated record. The transcript has 2 exons. Lineage: Eukaryota; Metazoa; Chordata; Mammalia; Rodentia; Cricetidae.
CUCCCACUCUCCGCCUCCUUCCCCCUCCCUCCGUGGCUCAGGCGUUUAUAGGUCCGUGAGUUUACGUCAGCGCGAAGGGCGGGGUCAAAGCCGCGGGAGUGCCGGAUGUAACCGCCCUCAAAUCUUGGAUUGGGUCGUCAGAUUAGCCCCGCCCUCCCCACGUCUUGUGACUCUACUGGUCCGAAGCGCAUGGCGGUAGCACCUCCUGCCGUCUUUGGGCGGAUCGCUCUAUUGCGGAGCCUCAGCACUCGGAGGCAAGGGUCAGCGGUAGGGCGGAGGCCGAGCUUCUGUUUCUGCGGGAUUCGAGCGGUGGUCUUCCCUUCCAGCGCUCAACAAUAAAAAACGCCUUGCACCCA